AACGAACGCUGGCGGCAUGCCUAACACAUGCAAGUCGAACGAUACCUUCGGUUCUAGUGUCGCACGGGUGCGUAACGCGUGGGAACCUGCCUUUAGGUUCGGAAUAACUCAGAGAAAUUUGAGCUAAUACCGGAUGAUGUCUUCGGACCAAAGAUUUAUCGCCUUUAGAUGGGCCCGCGUUUGAUUAGCUAGUUGGUGGGGUAAAGGCCUACCACGGCGACGAUCCAUAGCUGGUCUGAGAGGAUGAUCAGCCACACUGGGACUGAGACACGGCCCAGACUCAUACGGGAGGAAGCAGUGGGGAAUAUUGGACAAUGGGCGAAAGCCUGAUCCAGCAAUGCCGCGUGAGUGAUGAAGGCCUUAGGGUUGUAAAGCUCUUUUACCCGAGAUGAUAAUGACAGUAUCGGGAGAAUAAGCUCCGGCUAACUCCGUG
Molecule: ribosomal RNA, 433 nt
Filed under: uncultured bacterium
Lineage: Bacteria
Description: partial 16S ribosomal RNA
Rfam family: Bacterial small subunit ribosomal RNA
Source: RNAcentral